This 381-nucleotide ribosomal RNA is filed under the name uncultured bacterium. RNAcentral's name for it is "bacterial SSU rRNA". It matches the Rfam family "Bacterial small subunit ribosomal RNA", at positions 30 to 412 of the family's 1533-position model. The record is from RNAcentral.
AUUGAACGCUGGCGGCAUGCCUUACACAUGCAAGUCGAACGGCAGCGGACCUUCGGGUGCCGGCGAGUGGCGAACGGGUGAGUAAUAUAUCGGAACGUACCUUUCAGUGGGGGAUAACGUAGCGAAAGUUACGCUAAUACCGCAUAUUCUGUGAGCAGGAAAGCAGGGGAUCGCAAGACCUUGCGCUGAUUGAGCGGCCGAUAUCAGAUUAGCUAGUUGGUGAGGUAAAGGCUCACCAAGGCGACGAUCUGUAGCGGGUCUGAGAGGAUGAUCCGCCACACUGGAACUGAGACACGGUCCAGACUCCUACGGGAGGCAGCAGUGGGGGAAUUUUGGACAAUGGGCGCAAGCCUGAUCCAGCCAUGCCGCGUGAGUGAAGAA